Molecule: transfer RNA, 62 nt
Filed under: Gammaproteobacteria bacterium
Lineage: Bacteria; Pseudomonadati; Pseudomonadota; Gammaproteobacteria
Description: tRNA-Gly
Rfam family: tRNA
About the family: Transfer RNA (tRNA) molecules are approximately 80 nucleotides in length. Their secondary structure includes four short double-helical elements and three loops (D, anti-codon, and T loops).
Source: RNAcentral
CGGGUGUAGUUCAAUGGUAGAACAUCAGCUUCCCAAGCUGACGAUGCACCUCAUCACCUGAA